UACGUAGGCGGCAAGCGUUGUCCGGAAUUAUUGGGCGUAAAGGGAGCGCAGGCGGGAAACUAAGCGGAUCUUAAAAGUGCGGGGCUCAACCCCGUGAUGGGGUCCGAACUGGUUUUCUUGAGUGCAGGAGAGGAAAGCGGAAUUCCCAGUGUAGCGGUGAAAUGCGUAGAUAUUGGGAAGAACACCAGUGGCGAAGGCGGCUUUCUGGACUGUAACUGACGCUGAGGCUCGAAAGCUAGGGUAGCGAACGGG
Molecule: ribosomal RNA, 252 nt
Filed under: Megamonas funiformis YIT 11815
Lineage: Bacteria; Bacillati; Bacillota; Negativicutes; Selenomonadales; Selenomonadaceae
Also listed under: 3 other names
Description: partial 16S ribosomal RNA
Rfam family: Bacterial small subunit ribosomal RNA
Source: RNAcentral